UGGGGAAUAUUGCACAAUGGGCGCAAGCCUGAUGCAGCCAUGCCGCGUGUAUGAAGAAGGCCUUCGGGUUGUAAAGUACUUUCAGCGAGGAGGAAGGCGUUGUGGUUAAUAACCGCAGCGAUUGACGUUACUCGCAGAAGAAGCACCGGCUAACUCCGUGCCAGCAGCCGCGGUAAUACGGAGGGGGCAAGCGUUAAUCGGAAUUACUGGGCGUAAAGCGCACGCAGGCGGUCUGUCAAGUCGGAUGUGAAAUCCCCGGGCUCAACCUGGGAACUGCAUCCGAAACUGGCAGGCUAGAGUCUUGUAGAGGGGGGUAGAAUUCCAGGUGUAGCGGUGAAAUGCGUAGAGAUCUGGAGGAAUACCGGUGGCGAAGGCGGCCCCCUGGACAAAGACUGACGCUCAGGUGCGAAAGCGUGGGGAGCAAACA
This 427-nucleotide ribosomal RNA is filed under the name uncultured bacterium. RNAcentral describes it as "partial 16S ribosomal RNA". It matches the Rfam family "Bacterial small subunit ribosomal RNA", at positions 355 to 774 of the family's 1533-position model. The record is from RNAcentral.